Molecule: ribosomal RNA, 633 nt
Filed under: uncultured bacterium
Lineage: Bacteria
Description: bacterial SSU rRNA
Rfam family: Bacterial small subunit ribosomal RNA (bases 1-539)
Source: RNAcentral
CCUACGGGAGGCAGCAGUGAGGAAUAUUGGUCAAUGGGCGCAAGCCUGAACCAGCGACGCCGCGUGCGGGAUGAAGGGGCUUUGCCUCGUAAACCGCUGUCGGGUGGGACGAAAGGUAGCUUUGAGCUACUGGGACGGUACCAUCAAAGGAAGGAUCGGCUAACUACGUGCCAGCAGCCGCGGUAAUACGUAGGAUCCGAGCGUUGUCCGGAGUUACUGGGUGUAAAGGGUGCGUAGGCUGUUCUGUGCGUCAGAGGUGAAAUCCACGAGCUUAACUCGUGGGGUGCCUUUGAUACGGCAGGGCUUGAGUACGAGAGAGGUGCGUGGAAUUCCUGGUGUAGCAGUGAAAUGCGUAGAUAUCAGGAGGAACACCGGUGGCGAAGGCGGCGCACUGGCUCGUAACUGACGCUGAGGCACGAAAGCGUGGGGAUCAAACAGGAUUAGAUACCCUGGUAGUCCACGCCUUAAACGAUGCAUGCUUGGCGUUGGUCUCGCAAGAGAUCAGUGCGUAGUUACGAGAGUAAGACGAGNGCCGAACCGUGGGGUAGGUUACGAGUCGCGAAGGUUAGGUUAACGUUACGAAGUAGAGUUAGACGGNGAGAGAGNGACGACGGACGACGACGGAGGGAGGAG